This 338-nucleotide long non-coding RNA is filed under the name Carica papaya (papaya). Its description in RNAcentral is "long non-coding RNA (CPAP_LNC011243)". Lineage: Eukaryota; Viridiplantae; Streptophyta; Magnoliopsida; Brassicales; Caricaceae. The record is from RNAcentral.
AAAGUGGGACGUGAUAAAAUGACCGGUGGUUCAUCAUGAAGGAAAUGAAGCUGCCUGACCAGGAAGGUAUUAAUGACUACUUAUGGCAGUUGAAGAGGUAGGUGACAUGAGUGGUUGUUAGAGCCACAUGUGGUUAGUUGCACCUCUUCAAUUUCAAAUUUAUUUUCAGAAGACUCAAAAGUAAAAAAGCCUAAUUAAAUAAAUAAGCAUAAUCCUAAUUAUUGCAUAAUUUUGUUGUUUCAAUUAACCUAAGCAAAGAUUACCAUUUUAAUUCAUGUCUCCUCAAAACAUAUAUUAAGAAACUUGAACUUUUAAUUUUUUUUGAUUUCGGUUUCUUU